This 497-nucleotide ribosomal RNA is filed under the name uncultured bacterium. RNAcentral describes it as "partial 16S ribosomal RNA". It matches the Rfam family "Bacterial small subunit ribosomal RNA", at positions 28 to 507 of the family's 1533-position model. The record is from RNAcentral.
GAUGAACGCUGGCGGCGUGCCUAAUACAUGCAAGUCGAGCGAACAGACGAGGCGCUUGCUCCUCUGACGUUAGCGGCGGACGGGUGAGUAACACGUGGAUAACCUACCUAUAAGACUGGGAUAACUUCGGGAAACCGGAGCUAAUACCGGAUAAUAUAUUGAACCGCAUGGUUCAAUAGUGAAAGACGGUUUUGCUGUCACCUAUAGAUGGAUCCGCGCCGCAUUAGCUAGUUGGUAAGGUAACGGCUUACCAAGGCAACGAUGCGUAGCCGACCUGAGAGGGUGAUCGGCCACACUGGAACUGAGACACGGUCCAGACUCCUACGGGAGGCAGCAGUAGGGAAUCUUCCGCAAUGGGCGAAAGCUUGACGGAGCAACGCCGCGUGAGUGAUGAAGGUCUUCGGAUCGUAAAACUCUGUUAUUAGGGAAGAACAAAUGUGUAAGUAACUAUGCACGUCUUGACGGUACCUAAUCAGAAAGCCACGGCUAACUACGUG